RNAcentral lists this long non-coding RNA (321 nucleotides) under Mytilus galloprovincialis (Mediterranean mussel). The record is from RNAcentral. Lineage: Eukaryota; Metazoa; Mollusca; Bivalvia; Mytilida; Mytilidae.
CAGAAUAACAAUGGCAUCCACUCAAGAUUUUAUGAAAAUAAAAUUAACUGAUAAAGAUAUUCCCGGGGCAAAAAUAGAUUUAAAUGAUUUUCAGGGCAGUUGUAAUGUCCAACUAAAGAGAUGGUUACAGUGCCGUGGUGUUAAAAUUUCUGGAAACAAACCAGAACUUAUUCAAAGGUGAGUGAGCCGUUAGGAUACGCCCAUUUCUUUUGUUGACAUGUUUUACCUGAGCUACAAAUAGUCAAUCCUUUUAAAUAUUGGAAGGUGAACUUUGUCACCGAGCAAUGAUUGGUAGUUGACAGUUAAAUAACACACCUUUUU